UGAGAUAGAGAGUUCUCGGCGACAGCGAACACCCUGCCGGCAUGCUCAAACACAUUGGUGUUGAUGAUGUCCUUGUUCGCCUUGCCAAACCUCAGCUACGUUGCAUGCUCACUCGUUUCAGAACAUCAGGUAUGUAGAUAUAUAGUACCUGAAAUCAAUCUGGAUUUGUUGCAAAGUUUUUUUUUGCAUUGCUUACAUAGUUGAGCAUGAAGGCGGCGAUAAUGGCUGCAGAGUCGCCUUCAGUGGCAGGGAGGAAGCAAGGUUUCUGCCGGGCGUUUUCCAGCUUGAACGUCUCAGAUUGCACAUAGCGGUUGGCAUAGGAGAGUG
RNAcentral lists this long non-coding RNA (327 nucleotides) under Sorghum bicolor (sorghum). Its description in RNAcentral is "long non-coding RNA (SBIC_LNC003392)". Lineage: Eukaryota; Viridiplantae; Streptophyta; Magnoliopsida; Poales; Poaceae. The record is from RNAcentral.